This is a long non-coding RNA of Oryzias melastigma (Indian medaka), 833 nucleotides long. RefSeq lists it as uncharacterized. NCBI's taxonomy places the organism in Eukaryota, Metazoa, Chordata, Actinopteri, Beloniformes, Adrianichthyidae. The record is from RefSeq and is a predicted model, not a curated record. The transcript is spliced from 2 exons.
GUGAGCUCUGAGUCAGGAGUUUCCUCCUCAAUGUGGCUUAUCUCAUCUAGAGAAUAGUUUAAGAGCUCAGUCACCUACAGAGAGUUUUGUGAAGAGCUGCUUAUUUUCCACAGAGAUAAGAAUGAGCUUUGGUGGGUCAGACAUCUGGUCUUCAUCCCUCCCUGGAAAGGUAUUUUGGCCAUGACCAGAGACCCUAUGACCCAGAACUUGCUGGAAAGACCAUCUCUCUUGAAUGGCCAAGCAAUGCGUUCUCUUAAACGAGCUGGGGGAAGUGACUAGGCAGGGUAACGUCUGGCGACCUUUAUUUAGACAGUUGCCCCGUACCCAGAUGAGUGGAAGAAAAUUAGUGAUUGGAUGGGAUAGGUGCAUAUUACUAUCUAGGUGGACAGAACCAAUGGAUGACUCAACACGAUUCAAUUUAUUUUGUUAAACCACCUAUUUUAUUUUAUUUUUUUUAAAUGUCGAGGUUAGUCAAGUAAGCUCCAGUCAUGAUGCCUGUCUCAUAAUGUGUAUAAAUAUCUAUGCAUAUGGCUAUGCUCCAAAGACAACAAGACCCCACAUCCACCUUUUGCAGUAAAGGGCAUCGUUCCAAAGAUUAAGGGGGGCAUAUACAAGACUAUGACUUUAUGAAAUCACAAGUAAAAGUAUUCUUCCUAUCUAUAAACUUUGCAUUUCUAAUUUGUCCGUGGGAGAAAACAAUGGAUAAAAGUAUGAAAUCAUAAAGUGAACAUCAGUUUUCUUGGAACGACCAUGAGCUUGUGGCUAAGAAACAACACUAGUCUAUAUUUUGCAUAUAAUGCCAGUCAUUAAAUGAUUGUCCAAUAAAACAUAUA